GCUGCAUGUGCACUCUGCUUCGGAGAUAAGGAAUGAAAAAGCGAGUUGAUGAGUUCACCUGAACUAGGUUCUCCUUCCAAGUUCCCCCCACCCCUCCGGAUUCAUGUGUACAGAAACUGUAUUUCUGUAUUUUCUUGAAUCUUGACUUGUAAUUAUGUAAAGAAAUUAAUUGUAUUAUAAUCAUAUUAUACAGAACUGCUUCUCCUGUAUUGGAAAUACCCAGUUC
This 226-nucleotide unclassified non-coding RNA is filed under the name Hevea brasiliensis (rubber tree). The record is from RNAcentral. Lineage: Eukaryota; Viridiplantae; Streptophyta; Magnoliopsida; Malpighiales; Euphorbiaceae.